GCCCAGGUGGCGAAAUGGCAGACGCAUCACCUUGAGGUGGUGACGCCGAAAGGCAUGGAGGUUCGAAUCCUCUCCUGGGCACCA
Molecule: transfer RNA, 84 nt
Filed under: bacterium
Lineage: Bacteria
Description: tRNA-Leu
Rfam family: tRNA
About the family: Transfer RNA (tRNA) molecules are approximately 80 nucleotides in length.
Source: RNAcentral